GCCGCCCGCUGGCGGCGUGCCUAAUACAUGCAAGUAGAACGCUGAAGGAGGAGCUUGCUUCUCUGGAUGAGUUGCGAACGGGUGAGUAACGCGUAGGUAACCUGCCUGGUAGCGGGGGAUAACUAUUGGAAACGAUAGCUAAUACCGCAUAACAGUAGAUAUCGCAUGAUAUCUACUUGAAAGGUGCAAUUGCAUCACUACCAGAUGGACCUGCGUUGUAUUAGCUAGUUGGUGAGGUAACGGCUCACCAAGGCGACGAUACAUAGCCGACCUGAGAGGGUGAUCGGCCACACUGGGACUGAGACACGGCCCAGACUCCUACGGGAGGCAGCAGUAGGGAAUCUUCGGCAAUGGACGGAAGUCUGACCGAGCAACGCCGCGUGAGUGAAGAAGGGUUUCGGAUCGUAAAGCUCUGUUGUAAGAGAAGAACGAGUGUGAGAGUGGAAAGUUCACACUGUGACGGUAUCUUACCAGAAAGGGACGGCUAACUACGUG
Molecule: ribosomal RNA, 495 nt
Filed under: uncultured bacterium
Lineage: Bacteria
Description: partial 16S ribosomal RNA
Rfam family: Bacterial small subunit ribosomal RNA
Source: RNAcentral